GGGCGUAUAGCUCAGUUGGUAGAGCGCCUGUCUUACACACAGGUGGUCAUAGGUUCGAGUCCUGUUGCGCCCAACA
Molecule: transfer RNA, 76 nt
Filed under: Chlamydiales bacterium 38-26
Lineage: Bacteria; Pseudomonadati; Chlamydiota; Chlamydiia; Chlamydiales
Description: tRNA-Val
Rfam family: tRNA
About the family: Transfer RNA (tRNA) molecules are approximately 80 nucleotides in length. Their secondary structure includes four short double-helical elements and three loops (D, anti-codon, and T loops).
Source: RNAcentral